Molecule: long non-coding RNA, 436 nt
Filed under: Salmo salar (Atlantic salmon)
Lineage: Eukaryota; Metazoa; Chordata; Actinopteri; Salmoniformes; Salmonidae
Description: lncRNA (ENSSSAG00000105035.1)
Source: RNAcentral
GAGACCACUGCCUCUAAAAUGAGUCUCUCUGGGGAGAGAGAGGAGGGGACCACUGCCUCUAAAAUGACUCAAGACACCAGUUCUAAGAGUGUCCAGAAGCCCAGAGCAGAGUCCCCUACAACCAGCCUGCUAUCAAUGAAGAGUGAUCAGCCACCUGCUUUCAGCCAGGAACCAUUACCAGAUGACAAUAAGGAAGUGGAGAGUUUGGACAGUGAGGAUCCAUUAAAUAUCACACACAACCUUCUGGACGGAAGAAGUCAAACUCUGCUGACAGUCCAACAAGACAUUAAGGCUAAACUGAAACACAAGUAUCAACACAUAUCUGAAGGAAUUGGACACCAUGGAAACCAAAGUCUGUUAAAGGACAUCUACACAGAGCUCUACAUCACAGAGGGUGGAAGUGGAGGGCUCAAUAAUGAACAUGAGGUUAGACAGA